Molecule: non-coding RNA, 105 nt
Organism: Yersinia ruckeri
Lineage: Bacteria; Pseudomonadati; Pseudomonadota; Gammaproteobacteria; Enterobacterales; Yersiniaceae
Source: Rfam
CGCUCUGACUCGGGGUGCCACCGGUUGAUUAACUUGGUGGCUGAGAUUUUACCCGUAUUACCUGAUCUGGAUUAUGCCAGCGUAGGGAAGUCUCGGGCCUUUCAG